Molecule: RNase P RNA, 216 nt
Filed under: Halieaceae bacterium
Lineage: Bacteria; Pseudomonadati; Pseudomonadota; Gammaproteobacteria; Cellvibrionales; Halieaceae
Description: partial RNase P RNA component class A
Rfam family: Bacterial RNase P class A
About the family: Ribonuclease P (RNase P) is a ubiquitous endoribonuclease, found in archaea, bacteria and eukarya as well as chloroplasts and mitochondria. Its best characterised activity is the generation of mature 5'-ends of tRNAs by cleaving the 5'-leader elements of precursor-tRNAs. Cellular RNase Ps are ribonucleoproteins.
Source: RNAcentral
UGAGUGGGUCAGACGAUCGCUGUCGUAACGACAGAGGAAAGUCCGGGCUCCAACGGGUCAGGACGCCAGGUAACGCCUGGGGGGCGCGAGCCUACGGAAAGUGCAACAGAAAGGAAACCGCCUGCUUGCAGGUAAGGGUGAAAAGGUGCGGUAAGAGCGCACCGCGCGGUUGGCAACAAGCGUGGCGAUGGUAAACCCCGUCCGGAGCAAGACCAA